RNAcentral lists this long non-coding RNA (1317 nucleotides) under Homo sapiens (human). RNAcentral's name for it is "long intergenic non-protein coding RNA 2682". The record is from RNAcentral. Lineage: Eukaryota; Metazoa; Chordata; Mammalia; Primates; Hominidae.
ACACUGGGCAGAGGCAGAGGUCGGAAGAGCGGCUCAAAGAACCAGAUCCCGGGAGGUGGUCAUUUUGGACAGCCCUCUGCCUUCUAUGCCAUGUUGCAAGAUUUCCUCUGGAGAGGGCCUCUUGGCAAGGAACUGAUGUCUCUGGCCAGCAGCCAGCGAGGACCUAAGAUCUGUCAACAGCCAUGCAGAAGGGACAAUGAAUUGUGACUCGGAAAUUAAUCAGAUGAGACCUGAUGACUGAAGUACAUCACAGAGCUAGGAAGAGAGAUUACUAAGCAACACGGUGAGAGCUCCAUCCUCUGGGUAUUCAGCCAACUACAGAUCACUCAAAGGCAGACAUUCUGGGAUCUUCCAUCCAUCAAGCUGAACCAGAGUACAAGGCCAAAACCAGUGAAUGACAAAGCAACCCCAUGCCCAGCUUAAGAGUUUCCUCAGAGAGUUUGUCUUGUAGGAGUCAUUAGACACUAAUUUGAUUCUAUUUGCAUGUGCACACCCUGCCCUUUGCCAAACAGGGAGAGAAUCACACUUGAGAGCUAGCGCUCAGCUCAGUCUCUUCUCCACACCACGCUAGUGCACCAAGAACAAGGUUAUAGGUGUGGCAAAAAAACAAACCCUGCCAAUGCUCUAAGUAUAUGUUUGAUGUAAUCUUAUUUCUCAUAAAAUUAAGAGGAUAAUAUUUUUAGGUGAUGCAGAGUAUGAGACUGUCAUUAGGUUACUCUGAAUCUCUUUCUCUCUCUCUCUUCAUGGUAAAAAUUAAGUUCCAUUAGGAAAAUUCUUCCUCCCCUUCCUUCCUCCCAUUGGUCUUUCCUCCUAAGAUCCAGGUAGCUCUGAGAAAGUUUGUUUCAUCUAUGCGUUGGCCUGGGAAUCCUCCUCUUGUUAAUCUACACAAAUAAAAUCAUCUUAAAGAUCGAAAGCUUUUGUACAAAAAUGUCCUUCAUAGUGUUUUCUAUAUUAGCAAAAUGUUGUACAAAUAAUACAUAAUCUAACAUCUUAAAAAAGGGGAAAUGAUUAAAUAAAUUAUAGCACAAAAAUUCUGUGAGAUAUAUAGGCGAUGAUUAGAUGACAAUGUCAGGUCAGUUCAAUAAAUACAUGUUCAUUAGUUCCCAUAUGCCAGGCACUGAAAUAGGCAUCUGUCUUAUAUGUAUACAUAUGUAACAAACCUGCACGUUGUGCACAUGUACCCUAGAACUUAAAGUAUAAUUUAAAAAUAUAUAUAUAUAAAGAAAGAUAAACAAGAUAUGGACCCCUAAAGGAAACUCACUAUUUUCAGAUUGUAAGAGAAAACAUUUGGAUAUAUUAAAUUGUAAAAGAACAAUA